This 255-nucleotide ribosomal RNA is filed under the name uncultured bacterium. RNAcentral's name for it is "partial 16S ribosomal RNA". It matches the Rfam family "Bacterial small subunit ribosomal RNA", at positions 524 to 776 of the family's 1533-position model. The record is from RNAcentral.
GACGUAGGUGGCGAACGUUAUCCGGAAUUAUUGGGCGUAAAGGAUGCGCAGAUGGUGUAGUAAGUUAUCGGUGGCAAAUCGAGGCUCAACCUCGUGGAAGUCGGUAAUACUGCUAUGCUAGAGGAUAGGAGAGGUUAACGGAACUCCCUGUGGAGCGGUGAAAUGCGUAGAUAUAGGGAAGAACACCAAUCAGGCGAAGGCAGUUAACUAUUCUAUUCCUGACAUUGAGGCAUGAAAGCGUGGGGAGCAAAACGG